AGCGAACGCUGGCGGCGUGCUUAACACAUGCAAGUCGAACGUGAAAUGUAGCAAUACAGAGUAAAGUGGCGUACGGGUGAGUAACACGUGGGUAAUCUACCAAAGAGCCUGGAAUAACCGACCGAAAGGUUGGCUAAUACUGGAUAGUUCAAAUGAAAUAUAAUGUUUCGAUUGGGAAAGGGAGCGAGCAAUCGCCUUCACUUUUUGAUGAGCCCGCGUCUGAUUAGCUAGUUGGUAGGGUAAUGGCCUACCAAGGCGACGAUCAGUAGCUGGUCUGAGAGGAUGAUCAGCAGCACUGGAACUGAAACACGGUCCAGACUCCUACGGGAGGCAGCAGUGGGGAAUCUUGCGCAAUGGACGAAAGUCUGACGCAGCCACGCCGCGUGAGUGAAGAAGGCCUUCGGGUUGUAAAGCUCUGUCGGAAGGGACAAAAACGUUUAAGGUUAAUAGCCUUAGAUCUUGAUGGUACCUUCAAAGGAAGCACCGGCUAACUUCGUGCCAGCCGCCGCUGUAA
This 514-nucleotide ribosomal RNA is filed under the name uncultured bacterium. RNAcentral describes it as "partial 16S ribosomal RNA". It matches the Rfam family "Bacterial small subunit ribosomal RNA", at positions 29 to 523 of the family's 1533-position model. The record is from RNAcentral.